UACGAAGGAUGCAAGCGUUAUCCGGAUUCAUUGGGUUUAAAGGGAGCGUAGGCGGACUUAUAAGUCAGUGGUGAAAUCUCUGGGCUUAACUCAGAAACUGCCAUUGAUACUGUAGGUCUAGAGUACAUUUGCUGUGGGCGGAAUAUGACAUGUAGUGGUGAAAUACUUAGAUAUGUCAUAGAACACCGAUUGCGAAGGCAGCUCACAAAAAUGUAACUGACGCUGAGGCUCGAAAGUGCGGGGAUCAAACAGG
RNAcentral lists this ribosomal RNA (253 nucleotides) under uncultured bacterium. Its description in RNAcentral is "partial 16S ribosomal RNA". It matches the Rfam family "Bacterial small subunit ribosomal RNA", at positions 524 to 776 of the family's 1533-position model. The record is from RNAcentral.